AUUUCUCGCUCAAUUCCGAAAUUCACGGCGACUGAGGUCGCUCGUCGUCAAGAUGCUCCAUUUUCACUCACGUCAGCUCCGAAACUCCCUGACGUUGGCGGGUCACGAGGUUCUCGCGAAAUUCAAUCACAAAAGUGUCUGGGUUGUCGGAGCUUAUGAGCUUAAUUCAUUGCCCUUUUGUUUUGCAGAGUGAAUUGUUCAACCGCAAGUUCGCUUUUUUCCUUCUUUUUUUUGGGUUCUUAUCUCGUCCUGUUUAAUGGGUUUUCAGAGAAGCGAAUGAUGCAGACAACUUGUGGGUUCAUUAUGAGAUUUCCUUCCAAAGUCGUCACAAUCAGCAUAAGUGCGGUCUCAACAAGUGAGUGAAUGGUCGUGCUGUGCCUGCUUAGUCCAAUGGUGCCAGAGAAAAUAUUGAAGCUCUCUAGCUCUGAUGUCGUAUCCAGGACUCCUUCAAGCUCCUCCUCCAAGCCCAGAUCCCUGAAGAUCUGCACAUUCCUCAAUUUGUCUCUCAUCAUCCAGAUUGCCAGCUCGAUAGCAAAUCUUCUCAUUCUCGGCACCUUUAUACUUGGGCUCCGGUGCCUCCUCAGGAUGUCAACCAAAGUGCAAGCUAAUUUGGCUUCUUUAAACCCUGCACUCUCGAAGAUGGCAGUCGAUUCUUCUGCUGUCAUGAACUUGAAAGCAUGUGCCGCUAACCCAACCAUCACCUCUUGUAGUUUGCCUUCUCCUGACAAGAUUGCCUUGAGAACCUGAGUUGAGAAAUGUGGUUAGGUAGGAACAAUUAAUAUCAUUCUCUCUAGGAUAACUUUAACUUGUACAUAACUGCCCUUUCCGGUUAUUGAGAUGCCGGCUCAGGUUAAAUUUUUGCAAAAUAAUGUACUUACCACUGGUGCCGCUGCUGUUACUCCCUUUAGCUGGUUGAAGGACUCUGGCCCACUAUAAGUGCACAGAUUCCUCAAAAUUCUUCCAGCAUUAACACGAAGAAGUUCUGUCUCCAAUGCUUCUAGGAGCCUCUCCACUACAUUUAACUUCAAGAUGCAAUGACAGUUGCUCUUGCUCUCGAAAGCCAGCAUUGCCAGGGCUUCUCCUGCCACAAUCCUCACAUCCCUUUGAUCUUCUGGCACUCCUUCUUGGAAGAAAAUCUUUAAAAGUUCUUUCAGAACUCCACCGGUCCCUCCUAUUCGCUCUGUUGCAUCGUCGUCCUGUGCUAAACUGAGCUCACGGGACUCAAUAUAUCCUUCACGGAUUCAACUAAAGCUCUAGAGCUCAAUCUGAGCUUUCGGAAGCUGCUAAUUCCAACAUCAGCUAUUGAACAAGUGGACUGGUGUUGCCAUUCCAGCUCAUGACUCCUGCUGAAUAUUCGAGCUCCUUCAAUCAAUAAAAUGAUGGUGAUGAACCAGAAAUCAGUGUUCUCCAAGGUAAUGGCAAAGCCCCCCAGGAGAACAACCGUCGCCCAUAUGAAACCAAGGGCUCCAAGGCCAGUGGCAGCUUUUUCGAGAAUCGCAAGGCGGAGAGCAAAGAGAGUCAGCUUUUUCUCGGGGGCUGGAACAGCCGGUGAUGUGGGGGAAACAGAGUUUCCGCUGCUUCCAUCUCUCCCAUCGGCAUUAGUUUGCGGCUCGAAGAUUGUGGUGGGUGAAAUGAUUUCAUUUUUCUUCUGAAGCUGAGGAAUAUCCAGAUGAACACUGCUUCGACCUCCAGCACUGUUCUUGACAGUCAUUUUGCAGUCUGGAGAAGCUCAAGAACAGACGCUCCUUUGCACAUCAAAUCAGCUGAGGAAAACUUCUAUCUAGUGUUUCGAUGGAACCUGAAAUCAAUUUCCAAAAUUUCUGUUUAUGAAUAGCCUGGAUUGGGAUGGGAGUCAGCAGCUAUGCCUGUAUAAAAGGUGGGGAGAAUAAGUGGAUCUAGCAGAACAAAAGGUAAGGUGAAGCUGCUUCUAUUGCCAACUUUCCAGGAAGCUCGUGUUUGGACGAAAUUCCUAGAUGAGCUUUGUUGACUGCCCGAUGAAGAUCUCUCACUAUCUUUCCGCAUAGACGAGCUUUGGCUUGUGCUUAACAAAACUUGUGCAAAAGAGAAGACAAGUUGAGAUCAAUGUUGACUCUGUCAGAGGAAUAUGUGACCUAAGGUUCUGAUAUUUUAAUGAAUGAUCUGGUUCUAAGUUCAAAGUUGCCAUGCACAGCUCCUUGGGAGGCAUUGACUUCAACAUCAAUGGAAAGGAAGAUUCCUCAUGAAGUUAAACCUUUAAAGUCUCCUUUUUCUUCUGGUCUCUCCGUGCAUGAGUCAUUGGCCGACUGUAAUAUCAUAAGCUAUAAUCAGUCUGUCCAAUUGGGGAAAUCUCCAAAUUGCUUCUAAGCAACUGGGUCAUGCCUCCUUAUUAAAGCAGUUGGUCAAGGAACCGACCAUUUUAAAAUUCAAAACACUUGUCCCUCAUAAUUUAGUAAUGCGUCCCGUGCCACACGAUCAUGCAAGGAGUGAUAUUGUAAUCUCUUACAUGACGGCACAUUUUUGGAUUUUCAUGGCAACUUUGCUUGCUUCUCGACAAUUAUUUCAAUGUCAUGCAAGCACGGUUGGGCAUCUCUUUUGUAUCUUGCUGGAAACAUUUUAUCGAAUGUCUUGGUCUUAAGCUAGAGGA
Molecule: long non-coding RNA, 2623 nt
Organism: Eucalyptus grandis
Lineage: Eukaryota; Viridiplantae; Streptophyta; Magnoliopsida; Myrtales; Myrtaceae
Exons: 3
Source: RefSeq, a predicted model, not a curated record